UUUUCGUUCGUUGUGUUCAAUCAAGAAACUGGUCGUUUCGUACACCACAAUUUCGUCUCCACGUUGCUAAGCGACCUGUAUGGAAUACAGGCAAGAGGUGGUUGCGCAUGCGCGGGACCGUAUGCGCAGGACCUUCUAGGAAUGUCAUCCGCAAUGGGAAAGAAAAUGCUGAUGUUUCUGACGGAAAAAACACAGAGGAAAGACAAGGAAAAGCCACAACAACAAGCUC
This is a long non-coding RNA of Mya arenaria, 229 nucleotides long. RefSeq lists it as uncharacterized. Lineage: Eukaryota; Metazoa; Mollusca; Bivalvia; Myida; Myidae. The record is from RefSeq and is a predicted model, not a curated record. The transcript is spliced from 3 exons.